Molecule: long non-coding RNA, 210 nt
Filed under: Lathyrus oleraceus (garden pea)
Lineage: Eukaryota; Viridiplantae; Streptophyta; Magnoliopsida; Fabales; Fabaceae
Description: Pisum sativum (pea) long non-coding RNA (PSAT_LNC026211)
Source: RNAcentral
UUUUGAAGUUUGCCAUGGUUUUAGCCCCAUUCAUUUAUCAUGUUUUAUCUCUGUUUUAUGAUUGAUUGAAGUGGAUGCAUGUUUUGAUGCCUUGUAUUGACUUGUUUAAACUUGUCUGAACUUUUUGAAUUUCAUUGACUUGUUUCCCUUGGUCCAAAUGAGCUGAAAUUUGGUAUGAUUUACAUGUUAUGAAUGCUGUUUGAUCAUGAA